Chinchilla lanigera (long-tailed chinchilla) is the source of this 2836-nucleotide long non-coding RNA. The record is from Ensembl. NCBI's taxonomy places the organism in Eukaryota, Metazoa, Chordata, Mammalia, Rodentia, Chinchillidae.
GGACACAACUCGUCUUUGCUUUCUAUCCUUUCCGUUUGAUUAGACAUCUUGGCAUCUGGAUAACCUCAUCAUCAGAAAAUCCUGGAAGAGAUGGGAAUGGAGGAUAAGGCCAAAACCCCAGAGUGUUGUUGGUACAGGAAAGGGCUUCAGUUUGGAUUGGCAGGCCCAGGAUGAGGAUUUUCUUCUGCGCUUCUGUGCUGAGGCCUCACCUGCUCCCAGGAGACAACGGGCCACACAGCACAGGAGCCAUGCGGCCAUGGUUGCACCCAGAGGCAAAAGGCUGAGGGUGUUUCAGUCCUCAUCAGCAGCCUCCCUGUGACGUGACUGCCUGGAAGACUCAGACUUCAUGCGAUUGACCCAUGUGCCUGGCAAAACACUUCCUGGUACCAGAAGGAGAGCUUUUAGCAUCACUCAGGGCACAACUCAUCUUUGCUUGCUGUCCUUUCCAUUGGACCAGAUGUCUUGGUUUCUGGGUAACUUCAUCAUCAGAAAAGCCUGGAAGAGAAAGACACAGAAGGUAAGGCCCAGGCCAAGAGUGCUGCUGAUACAGAAGAGGGUUUGGGUUUGGAUUGUCGGGCCCUGGAUGAGAGUUUUCUUCUGUGCUUCUGUGCUCAGGCUUAACCUGCUCCCUGGAGACAAAAGGUCACACAGCAGAGGAGCCAUGUGGCCAUGGUUGCACCCAGUGGCAAAAGGCUGAGGCUAUUUCAGUCCUCAUCAGCAGCCUCCCUGUGAUGUGACUUUUGGCAGACUCAGUCUUCAUGGGAUUGAGUCAUGUUCCUGGCAACACACUUCCUGAAAUCAGAAGGAGAGCUUUUAUCUUCACUCAGUAAAUAUACCUGGUGUAUAUCUCAUUUUUUUGCAAUAAUUUAUAACCCUUUCUACUACUAUAAACAAUGUGUCUCUGUGUAUAUAUAUAUGUAUAUAUAUAACAUUUUUAAAAUUAUGAAAUAAAAUAACAAAAUAAUAAUUGUACUGAUGAACAAUAAUUACCCUGUAUAUCAAUUAUCCCACCUCUUUAAAGAGAUCGCCCUCAUCUCUCUUUCCUCCCAUCUCUCACAUUUCUUGCUAUAUUCAGGUAUCAUUUAUUUUUUCACUGAUCUGUCUUCCACAUCUUUGUGAUAACCACUGACGAAAUCCUGGGAGAGAGUGAGGGAGACUGGAUUUUCUAAUACCCCUAGAUCACUGCACCGUCCACAGUCUAGGGCAUUGGAUGUCACAGGGGUUUUGAGGUUACAGAAGUAAGCCUUACGCACCUGUGUACAAGAAUGGAAAUUAUAGCACAAAUCUGAAGAGCCCUCAGGAGAUCUUUAGGCACAUAAAAUAAAAUGCAUAGGUGGUACUCAGUGUCUCAACAGUUACCUCUAUCCAUGAUAUAGACAUAUAAUCCUACAUUGAUUAUUCAGGUCCGUAAACACCUAUGUCCAAGUGACUUGAGCACCAAAAGGCAAUUGAAAGACAUUGAGGUGCCUUUUCAGGAGAAGGGGGCAUGGAGUAUUGUUUUGCACUUAGAAGUCACAGACUGGUUGUACACAAAGAAACAUGGAAAUUUUCAUUUAUUGUGAGCUGAAUGGAAACAUCUAAGAGGUAGAAUUUCAUCUAUAAUAAAAUAACACAUGUGUAAUUUUAAACAUAAAUACAUAACUAGAGUUCAGUGCUCCAGGAAAAGGGCAUAGCUGGGUCAUGUGUCAUUGAUUGUCUCUCUCAAAGAGUGUAAGAACAUAAACUGAUCUUUAUCACAGUCGUGUGGUUCUUAACUCAUUACGAAGAUUUGGACAAAAAGACAAAGAGAACAUGCAGGAGAGCAAAUGAGAAGGGAGACAAAGAAGAGGGAGUUCUGCAGAGGAAGAAACCCUAGGCCCUGGCCCAGGGUGUCCUCUAUCAGAAUCUUCAACCCACCACCAAUUCUUGACUUUUCAACACCCGUCAGCUGUGUGAGAAACUCCACUGCUGUGAGCCAGCUCCAGUUCAUUUCUGUUACUUCCUCCCAACCCAACUCGCCAGCUGCUUCCUGAGUUGGGUCUAUGGGGUUUGUGCACUCAGAGGAAGGAACAUUUCAGCACUGUGGACUGACUGCUAGCACAGAGGUACAGGGCUGAGUCUUCUAGUUCAGAUGACUUGAUUUCCAGGCUGCAGGGUGAGUCUUGGGGAUAUUCAGCUGAGAAUCGGUCCUUGAACAUAUCUGUUUGAUCAAGAAUUUCUUUGUUCCCAAAAUAAGCCAAAAACUUCAACCCUUCAUUCUGCUUUUGUUGAUACCAGUAAAGAGCAGUAUGUCCUUUUUUAGGGACACAACUCAUCUUCGCUAGCUGUCCUUUCCAUUUGAUCAGAUGUCGUGGUGUCUGGGUAACUUCGUCAUCAGAAAAGCCUGGAAGAGAAGGAAAGAUAAAGUAGGGUUGAAGUCCGGGAGUGUUACUGAGACAGAUAAGAGUUAGGAUUUGGACUGUCAAGCCCUGGAUGAGGGUUUUCUUCUGUGCUUCUAUGCUCAGGCCUCACCUGCUCCCAGAAGACACAGGGCCACACAGCAGAGGAAACAAGUGGCCAUGGUCACAUCCAAGUGACAAAAGGCUGAGGCUGUUUCAGUCCUCAUAGGCAGCCUGCCUCUGACGUGACUGCUCGACAGACUGUCUUCAUGGGACUGAUUCAUGUGCCUGGCAACACACUUCCUGGUACCGGAAAGAGAGCUUUUUGCUUCACUCAGUAAAUAUACCUGGUUUAUAUCUCAUUUAUGUACACUAAUUUAUCACCAUUUUACUUCUAUAAGCACUGUGUAUACAUAUAUAUACAUAUAAUGCAUAAAUAUCUAUUGUAUUUAUGAAGUUAUAAAAUGGAAUAAAAAAAU